Erwinia tracheiphila is the source of this 100-nucleotide non-coding RNA. Lineage: Bacteria; Pseudomonadati; Pseudomonadota; Gammaproteobacteria; Enterobacterales; Erwiniaceae. The record is from Rfam.
CGCCAUUUAUGGCGUACAGGGUCCAGUCGCUUAACGCCCCGAAUUUUCGGGGUUUUUUGUUAUCAGAAAACAGCAAACUGGGCUAUUAAGCCCUUUUUUU